UACGUAGGGGGCAAGCGUUGUCCGGAAUCAUUGGGCGUAAAGAGCGUGUAGGCGGCUUGCUAAGUCUUGCGUGAAAUCUCGGGGCUCAACCCCGAGCGGUCGUGGGAAACUGGCAGGCUAGAGUGCGGGAGAGGAGAAUGGAAUUCCUGGUGUAGCGGUGAAAUGCGCAGAUAUCAGGAAGAACACCCGUGGCGAAGGCGGUUCUCUGGAACGCAACUGACGCUGAGACGCGAAAGCGUGGGGAGCAAACAGG
Molecule: ribosomal RNA, 253 nt
Filed under: uncultured bacterium
Lineage: Bacteria
Description: partial 16S ribosomal RNA
Rfam family: Bacterial small subunit ribosomal RNA
Source: RNAcentral